ACUCCUACGGGAGGCAGCAGUGGGGAAUAUUGCACAAUGGGCGCAAGCCUGAUGCAGCCAUGCCGCGUGUGUGAAGAAGGCCUUCGGGUUGUAAAGCACUUUCAGCAGUGAGGAAGGUGGAUGCGUUAAUAGCGUAUUCAUUUGACGUUAGCUGCAGAAGAAGCACCGGCUAACUCCGUGCCAGCAGCCGCGGUAAUACGGAGGGUGCGAGCGUUAAUCGGAAUUACUGGGCGUAAAGCGCAUGCAGGUGGUUUGUUAAGUCAGAUGUGAAAGCCCGGGGCUCAACCUCGGAAUUGCAUUUGAAACUGGCAGACUAGAGUACUGGUAGAGGGGGGUAGAAUUUCAGGUGUAGCGGUGAAAUGCGUAGAGAUCUGAAGGAAUACCGGUGGCGAAGGCGGCCCCCUGGACAGAUACUGACACUCAGAUGCGAAAGCGUGGGGGAGCAAACAGGAUUAGAUACCCU
Molecule: ribosomal RNA, 463 nt
Filed under: uncultured bacterium
Lineage: Bacteria
Description: bacterial SSU rRNA
Rfam family: Bacterial small subunit ribosomal RNA
Source: RNAcentral